CCAAAAACGGACCAUCCUCCUUUUUAGAAAAAUUAUCUACUAAACUUGAUAGGCAAAAUUGUUACUAGAUUAAAAGAUUAUGGAAACUAAAGUAAACCCAGUCUAAAGUCUUAAAAAAUAUAUCAGUAUAUAUUUAGUAUUUCUAGGGUAUUAAGGUUAAUACGGUGCCAGCAACCGCGGUCAAACCUUAUUAAUAAAUAAUUUAUAAUAAUCUAUUUAUAAAAUAAUAUGUGCUUAUAUAGUGUAUAGUAAAAUGUUACUAUAUCAAAAAAGUUAAGUGUAUUUUCCUGUAUGUCAAAAUAAGGUAAAAAACUAGGAUUAGAUACCCUAUUAUUCUUAAUGAAAAGACCAUAGAUUGAGGAGUAAAAUUAUUAUAAACUCAAAAGUCAUGGCGGCUGUUAUGAUUUAUCAGGGGAGCUUACCAAGUAAUUGAUAACCACCAAGAUACUCUUCUUAAGUUAAAAAGUUUGUAUGCCGUCGUCUUAAAUUUUUCAGAGAAAAAUUUUUUUACCUAAGAGAGGUAGGAAGACAGAUCAAGGUGCAGCUGAUACUAGAGAUUUAAGGCGAGCUACAAUAACUGAAUAUUCACCCAUGCGACUUUAAAAGUAUCGCUGAAGUUGGACUUGAAAGUAAGUCAUAAUAAAAAUUAAUAACUGAAUAGCUUAUUAAUAGUGC
Molecule: ribosomal RNA, 675 nt
Filed under: Orcula dolium
Lineage: Eukaryota; Metazoa; Mollusca; Gastropoda; Stylommatophora; Orculidae
Description: partial 12S ribosomal RNA
Source: RNAcentral